RNAcentral lists this ribosomal RNA (497 nucleotides) under uncultured bacterium. RNAcentral describes it as "partial 16S ribosomal RNA". It matches the Rfam family "Bacterial small subunit ribosomal RNA", at positions 28 to 507 of the family's 1533-position model. The record is from RNAcentral.
GACGAACGCUGGCGGCGUGCCUAAUACAUGCAAGUUGAGCGCUGAAGGUUGGUACUUGUACCAACUGGAUGAGCAGCGAACGGGUGAGUAACGCGUGGGGAAUCUGCCUUUGAGCGGGGGACAACAUUUGGAAACGAAUGCUAAUACCGCAUAAAAACUUUAAACACAAGUUUUAAGUUUGAAAGAUGCAAUUGCAUCACUCAAAGAUGAUCCCGCGUUGUAUUAGCUAGUUGGUGAGGUAAAGGCUCACCAAGGCGAUGAUACAUAGCCGACCUGAGAGGGUGAUCGGCCACAUUGGGACUGAGACACGGCCCAAACUCCUACGGGAGGCAGCAGUAGGGAAGCUUCGGCAAUGGACGAAAGUCUGACCGAGCAACGCCGCGUGAGUGAAGAAGGUUGUCGGACCGUAAAACUCUGUUGGUAGAGAAGAACGUUGGUGAGAGUGGAAAGCUCAUCAAGUGACGGUAACUACCCAGAAAGGGACGGCUAACUACGUG